GGAACUGCAAUUGAUGAAGAA
RNAcentral lists this non-coding RNA (21 nucleotides) under Arabidopsis thaliana (thale cress). Lineage: Eukaryota; Viridiplantae; Streptophyta; Magnoliopsida; Brassicales; Brassicaceae. The record is from RNAcentral.